GACGAACGCUGGCGGCGUGCUUAACACAUGCAAGUCGAACGGUGAAGCGCCUCCUUUUUGGUGGGUGUGGAUGAGUGGCGAACGGGUGAGUAACACGUGAGUAACCUGCCCCCUUCUUCUGGAUAACCGCAUGAAAGUGUGGCUAAUACGGGAUAUUCUGGGUCUGUCGCAUGAUGGGUCUGGGAAAGAUAUUGUUUCGGUGGGGGAUGGGCUCGCGGCCUAUCAGCUUGUUGGUGGGGUGAUGGCCUACCAAGGCGGUGACGGGUAGCCGGCCUGAGAGGGUGGACGGUCACACUGGGACUGAGACACGGCCCAGACUCCUACGGGAGGCAGCAGUGGGGAAUAUUGCACAAUGGGCGCAAGCCUGAUGCAGCGACGCCGCGUGAGGGAUGGAGGCCUUCGGGUUGUGAACCUCUUUCGCCAGUGAAGCAGGCCUGCCUCGUUUGGGGGUGGGUUGACGGUAGCUGGAUAAGAAGCGCCGGCUAACUACGUG
RNAcentral lists this ribosomal RNA (493 nucleotides) under uncultured bacterium. Its description in RNAcentral is "partial 16S ribosomal RNA". It matches the Rfam family "Bacterial small subunit ribosomal RNA", at positions 28 to 507 of the family's 1533-position model. The record is from RNAcentral.